RNAcentral lists this ribosomal RNA (253 nucleotides) under uncultured bacterium. Its description in RNAcentral is "partial 16S ribosomal RNA". It matches the Rfam family "Bacterial small subunit ribosomal RNA", at positions 524 to 776 of the family's 1533-position model. The record is from RNAcentral.
UACGUAGGUGGCGAGCGUUAUCCGGAAUGAUUGGGCGUAAAGGGUGCGUAGGCGGUCUUUUAAGUCUGAUGUGAAAGCCUUCGGCUUAACCGGAGUAGUGCAUUGGAAACUGGGAGACUUGAGUGCAGAAGAGGAGAGUGGAACUCCAUGUGUAGCGGUGAAAUGCGUAGAUAUAUGGAAGAACACCAGUGGCGAAAGCGGCUCUCUGGUCUGUAACUGACGCUGAGGUUCGAAAGCGUGGGUAGCAAACAGG